GACGAACGCUGGCGGCGUGCUUAACACAUGCAAGUCGAACGGAAAGGCCCUGCUUUGGUGGGGUGCUCGAGUGGCGAACGGGUGAGUAACACGUGAGUAACCUGCCCUUGACUUUGGGAUAACUUCAGGAAACUGGGGCUAAUACCGGAUAGGAGCUCCUGCUGCAUGGUGGGGGUUGGAAAGUUUCGGCGGUUGGGGAUGGACUCGCGGCUUAUCAGCUUGUUGGUGGGGUAGUGGCUUACCAAGGCUUCGACGGGUAGCCGGCCUGAGAGGGUGACCGGCCACAUUGGGACUGAGAUACGGCCCAGACUCCUACGGUAGGCAGCAGUGGGGAAUAUUGCACAAUGGGCGGACGCCGGAUGCAGCAACGCCGCGUGCGGUAUGACGGCCUUCGGGUUGUAAACCGCUUUCGCCUGUGACGAAGCUUGAGUGACGGUAAUGGGUAAAGAAGCACCGGCUAACUACGUG
This 468-nucleotide ribosomal RNA is filed under the name uncultured bacterium. RNAcentral's name for it is "partial 16S ribosomal RNA". It matches the Rfam family "Bacterial small subunit ribosomal RNA", at positions 28 to 507 of the family's 1533-position model. The record is from RNAcentral.